Molecule: ribosomal RNA, 484 nt
Filed under: uncultured bacterium
Lineage: Bacteria
Description: partial 16S ribosomal RNA
Rfam family: Bacterial small subunit ribosomal RNA
Source: RNAcentral
AUUGAACGCUGGCGGCAGGCCUAACACAUGCAAGUCGAGCGGAUGAAGGGAGCUUGCUCCUGGAUUCAGCGGCGGACGGGUGAGUAAUGCCUAGGAAUCUGCAUGGUAGUGGGGGAUAACGUCCGGAAACGGGUGCUACUACCGCAUACGUCCUGAGGGAGAAAGUGGGGGACCUUCGGACCUCACGCUAUCAGAUGAGCCUAGGUCGGAUUAGCUAGUUGGUGGGGUAAAGGCCUACCAAGGCGACGAUCCGUAACUGGUCUGAGAGGAUGAUCAGUCACACUGGAACGGGGACACGGUCCAGACUCCUACGGGAGGCAGCGGUGGGGAAUAUUGGACAAUGGGCGAAAGCCUGAUCCAGCCAUGCCGCGUGUGUGAAGAAGGUCUUCGGAUUGUAAAGCACUUUAAGUUGGGAGGAAGGGCAGUAAGUUAAUACCUUGCUGUUUUGACGGUACCAACAGAAUAAGCACCGGCUAACUUCGUG